Long non-coding RNA from Nerophis lumbriciformis (worm pipefish), 2295 nucleotides. RefSeq lists it as uncharacterized. NCBI's taxonomy places the organism in Eukaryota, Metazoa, Chordata, Actinopteri, Syngnathiformes, Syngnathidae. The record is from RefSeq and is a predicted model, not a curated record.
CUGAAAAUAGCCAUUUUUGGCUAUGUGUAACUUUCAAAGGAAGGCAAUUCAGAAAAUUCACGCCUUCUAUCAGACAGCGGCGGACAUGACGCGUUGUUUGCCAUCAACGUCAGAAGAAGAAGAAGCGGGAAAACAGUAGGUGGCGUAACAUUUUAACGUUGUGUGCGCCGACCUCGAACGAAAACGAGGAAGAAGAAGAAAGAGAAGAAGAAGCGGGAACGUUUUUGGAAACGACAACCGCAACGCUUGUGACAGAAGACUUGGAGAGGAUGGACAAAAAGAAAAUUACAACAUAAGAGGUUAAGAGUUCCCACAAAGAAAAUGAAGGACCUGCAUAAUUCUCCUCCCCCAAAUGAGCAAUCUGGGUGUUUGGCCUUCGUCAGAUGGGAGGACGGUUAUACCGGCAAAAUCUUUACUGGAGCAGACAUUUUGUCAAGAGAUGAAGCUCCUGUGCAGAUCUUAGAACAGGAGAUUCUGUUUUAGCAAAGUGGUCAGAUGGUAAAUUUUAUAGGGCAACUGUUGAAUAUAUUUCAAGAAAAGUGACGGGGGACUUGUAACAGGCAGCAACACUGUUGGACCACCACCACCACCCUAUGGGAGAGAUGCAGGCAACCCAUCUGUCGAGGACACUAUCUCAUAUCGACCGCAGGCAGAAAAAUCAUGGACGCCAUGUGAUGGAUGUUGGGAGGAGUUCGAAAAAAUCCUGCGAGAAAAGCAACAAAUCGAAGAAGUCCUCUUGAAAAUAGGCAAGUAAUUAAUGCUAAUUUAUUCAUGAUGUAAUUAUUUUGUUUACGUAAAUUUGUGAUUUGGCCUUGAACACAUUAUUUUCUCAUUCGGGUAUUGUUUGUGCUAUUUUUUCCCUUUCUGAUCCGGACCAAGUCAGAGUACUCCAAACUCUCUGCGACCUCAUUAGUGACAAAUACAGCGACGGCCCUCCUCAACAAUCGGGCCAGCAGGAGCUCUUUCCUGAGAGCGGCGUAUUCAUGUCCUCGUUCCGCCUUGCUGCCAUGAGUCAUGCUUCAAAGCCCAAUUGCAUGCGUUUAUUCCACGCACUUUCUGACCACUUUUUUACAGUUGAGGAGUGUCAAAAUGCUGUCGCUUUUGGUCGCCCUGGAAACAAACCUGUAGGAACAGGAAAGCGCAUCCUUGACCGGAAAAAAGUUGAAGAAAUCCUAACGUAUGUCCUGAGAUGCGGUACCCUUCCUGAUUGGGACAAUAUUGAGGAGGCCAAGCUCAAGCAAGCUUUGGUAAACAAAUGUCGGGAAAGAGCAGGUUUUAAGUAGGCCCUUGUACCUGCCAAGUUCAUUCUGGGGUAGGAUGUUUCCUUUGUAAACAUGUUGAUAUUUUGGUCUGGGGUUGCGCAGUAUAUAUUGUAUAAAAAUGCCCUAUGAUGUAGCUUUUAGUACCACGUUAUACUGUGACAAUGCAUAUUGAGCUGUGCUGUGUCUCGCAAAUUUGGCACUGAUGCAACCUCACUAACAAGAUAGCGGCUAAUAUCCCUUCACAGUACAAAGCUGUUUCCAAAUAAAAAACGGAAAUGACGCAGUAUGUUAGUAGCUUUUGUAACCAAUUUCAAAAUGUUUUAAUGAUCAUUUAUGUACCAAAUGUUAUAUUGUUAUCACAGGAGGCUGUUCUAUUGUUUACAACUGUGUUUCUUAAUCAUAGGGCUGGGGCCCACUGUUUGGCUGCGAAUACCCCUCGGGGGCCGCCAAUAAAUAUCUGUCUCUUAGCUGUGGUCCGUCCAUAUGGGCCGCAAUGGUACUCAGUUGUAAUACACUUUAGUGUAAGAUGACUAAUUCAGUGUUUGUAUUUGAGUGGGUCCGAGACCCCUCUGUAGUGGAAAAGUUGGUCGGGCCCUGAGGUAAAAAAUGUUAAGUAUCCUUGGUGUUCAAUGUGUGAUUAUUUUUUAUAUGUAGACCAGUUCCAAACACCACGGUUACAAUUUUAUAAAUGUAUUUCAGUUUUUGCUUGGAAUAUUUCCAAAAUGGAAAUUUAGUCAUUUACUCACCCUCUUACUGAGAUUAAGUCAGGUGUUUUUUUUAACUACAGUACAUGGUUUGCUCAACAAGGAGUUAAAAAAAACUACACCGGACUUUUUCACAACAACAAAGUGAGUACCGGUACUUAAGGUUAAAUUCAUUUAGUUUUGUAUUUGUUUUAUUUUUUGUAUAUUGUUUUCUAUGUUGUUUUAAUUAUUGUGAAUGUCAAUAUGUACAUUAUGUAUGUACUAAUUAACUACAUUUAAAUUGUUGUAUUUAAUCUAUUUUUAUAUCUUAUAUUUUGUAUUUGUAUAUG